CAGCAGCCGCGGUAAUACCGGCGGCCCGAGUGGCGGUCACUUUUAUUGGGCUUAAAGCGUCCGUAGCCGGGUUGGGAAGUCCUCCGGGAAAUCUGGCCGCUUAACGGUCAGAAUGCCGGAGGAUACUCCCAGCCUAGGGAGCGGGAGAGGCCGAGGGGAUUCCCGGAGGAGGGGGGAAAUCCUAUAAUCCCGGGAGGACCACCUGUGGCGAAGGCGCUCGGCUGGAACGCGUCCGACGGGGAGGGACGAAGGCCAGGGGAGCAAACCGGAUUAGAUACCCGGGUAGUCCUGGCUGUAAACGAUGCGGACUUUGUGUCGGACAAGCUAUGAGCUUGUCCGGUGCCGGAGGGAAACCGUUAAGUCCGCCGCCUGGGGAGUACGGCCGCAAGGCUGAAACUUAAAGGAAUUGGCGGG
This 414-nucleotide ribosomal RNA is filed under the name uncultured microorganism. RNAcentral describes it as "bacterial SSU rRNA". It matches the Rfam family "Archaeal small subunit ribosomal RNA", at positions 459 to 872 of the family's 1478-position model. The record is from RNAcentral.